Molecule: signal recognition particle RNA, 99 nt
Filed under: Nitrosospira sp.
Lineage: Bacteria; Pseudomonadati; Pseudomonadota; Betaproteobacteria; Nitrosomonadales; Nitrosomonadaceae
Also listed under: 1 other name
Description: signal recognition particle sRNA small type
Rfam family: Bacterial small signal recognition particle RNA
About the family: The signal recognition particle (SRP) is a universally conserved ribonucleoprotein involved in the co-translational targeting of proteins to membranes. Archaeal SRP consists of a 7S RNA and homologues of the eukaryotic SRP19 and SRP54 proteins. In most bacteria, the SRP consists of a 4.5S RNA and the Ffh protein (a homologue of the eukaryotic SRP54 protein).
Source: RNAcentral
GGCGGGCCUCCUCGCAUUGCAUAGUAGUGAAUCUGGUCAGGUCCGGAAGGAAGCAGCCACAGCUAUGUCCUGCAAGUGCCGGGGGUCUGGCUCGCCACC